This 134-nucleotide small nucleolar RNA is filed under the name Neogale vison (American mink). RNAcentral's name for it is "Neovison vison (American mink) Small nucleolar RNA SNORA70 (ENSNVIG00000009427.1)". It matches the Rfam family "Small nucleolar RNA SNORA70". Rfam says of the family: snoRNA U70 seems to be exclusive to mammals and is a member of the H/ACA class of snoRNA which contain H (ANANNA) and ACA box motifs. H/ACA box snoRNAs are involved in the conversion of uridines to pseudouridines (5-ribosyluracil) a constituent of structural RNAs (transfer, ribosomal, small nuclear, and small nucleolar). The record is from Rfam by way of RNAcentral. Lineage: Eukaryota; Metazoa; Chordata; Mammalia; Carnivora; Mustelidae.
CUGCAGCCAAUUAAGCCGACUGUGCUCUUUGUCUAUGAGGGCCCAGUGUGCCAUAGCUGCAAACAGUAGCCUCCUCAGUAGUGUAUGCAACCUGUUGAUUGUAUGGGUUGCCCUAAGGGACCUUGGAGACAACC